CCGAAGCUACGGAUUUGCAAGUAAUUGCAAGUGGUAGGGGAGCGUCGUAAUCGGACUGAAGUCGUACCGGAAGGAGCGGUGGACUGAUUACGAGUGAGAAUGUUGGCAUUAGUAGCGAGAUGUAGGUGAGAAUCCUACAGGCCGAAUAUCUAAGGUUUCCUCAGGAAGGCUCGUCCGCUGAGGGUUAGUCGGGACCUAAGCCGAGGCCGAAAGGCGUAGGCGAUGGACAAUCGGUUGAUAUUCCGAUACCACUACCAUCGUUAUUAUCGAGGGUGUGACGGAGAAGGAUAGUGUGUGCUAGCGAUUGGAAAUGCUAGUCUAAGCGUUUAGGGAGUUACAGUAGGCAAAUCCGCUGUAACAAUUCUGAGGCGUGAUGGGGAAGGUCAUUAAGACCGAAGUACAUGAUUCCAUACUUCCAAGAAAAGCAUCUAGAGAGAGAAGUAGUGCCCGUACCGCAAACCGACACAGGUAGAUGAGGAGAGAAUCCUAAGGCCGGCGGAAGAAUUGCAGUUAAGGAACUAGGCAAAUUGACCCCGUAAGUUCGCGAGAAGGGGUGCCUGUGAGAGCAGGCCGCAGAGAAUAGGCCCAAGCAACUGUUUAGCAAAAACACAGGUCUCUGCUAAAGCGUAAGCUGAUGUAUAGGGGCUGACGCCUGCCCGGUGCUGGAAGGUUAAGGGGAACACUUAGCGCAAGCGAAGGUGUGAACUUAAGCCCCAGUAAACGGCGGCCGUAACGAUAACGGUCCUAAGGUAGCGAAAUUCCUUGUCAGGUAAGUUCUGACCCGCACGAAUGGCGUAAUGACUUGGGCACUGUCUCAACUGCAAAUCCGGCGAAGUUGUAGUGCGAGUGAAGAUGCUCGCUACCCGCGAUUGGACGGAAAGACCCCGUAGAGCUUUACUGUAGCUUAGCAUUGAAUUCCGGUAUUGUCUGUACAGGAUAGGUGGGAGACUGGGAAACUAGGGCGUCAGCCUUAGUGGAGUCAACCUUGGGAUACCACCCUGACAGUACUGGGGUUCUAACAGGACGCCAUGAAACUGGUGACUGGACAUUGUUAGGUGGGCAGUUUGACUGGGGCGGUCGCCUCCUAAAAAGUAACGGAGGCGCCCAAAGGUUCCCUCAGAACGGUCGGAAAUCGUUCGUAGAGUGCAAAGGCAGAAGGGAGCCUGACUGCGAGACCCACAAGUCGAGCAGGGACGAAAGUCGGGCUUAGUGAUCCGGUGGUACCUCGUGGGAGGGCCAUCGCUCAACGGAUAAAAGCUACCUCGGGGAUAACAGGCUGAUCUCCCCCAAGAGUCCACAUCGACGGGGAGGUUUGGCACCUCGAUGUCGGCUCGUCGCAUCCUGGGGCUGUAGUAGGUCCCAAGGGUUGGGCUGUUCGCCCAUUAAAGCGGCACGCGAGCUGGGUUCAGAACGUCGUGAGACAGUUCGGUCCCUAUCCGUCGCGGGCGUAGGAAAUUUGAGAGGAGCUGUCCUUAGUACGAGAGGACCGGGAUGGACUGACCUCUGGUGCACCAGUUGUUCUGCCAAGAGCAUAGCUGGGUAGCUAAGUCGGGAAGGGAUAAACGCUGAAAGCAUCUAAGCGUGAAGCCCCCCUCAAGAUGAGAUUUCCCAUAGCAUAAGCUAGUAAGACCCCUUGAAGAACACAAGGUUGAUAGGUCAGAGGUGGAAGUGCGGUAACGUAUGUAGCUGACUGAUACUAAUAGGUCGGGGGCUUGACCU
Molecule: ribosomal RNA, 1719 nt
Filed under: metagenome
Description: bacterial LSU rRNA
Rfam family: Bacterial large subunit ribosomal RNA
Source: RNAcentral